This is a small nuclear RNA of Nymphaea colorata (pocket water lily), 154 nucleotides long. RefSeq annotates it as U4 spliceosomal RNA. NCBI's taxonomy places the organism in Eukaryota, Viridiplantae, Streptophyta, Magnoliopsida, Nymphaeales, Nymphaeaceae. The transcript has a single exon. The record is from RefSeq and is a predicted model, not a curated record.
AUCUUUGCGCUUGGGGCAAUGACGCAGCUCAUGAGGUUUUACCGAGGCGCGUCAAUUGCUGGUUGAAAACUAUUUCCAAACCCCCUCCAAGGCCUGGGCCAGACCCUGGCCUUGGAGAAUUUCUGGAAGGGUCCCCUUCUCUAAGGGUAAGCCC